Long non-coding RNA from Lineus longissimus, 648 nucleotides. RefSeq lists it as uncharacterized. The transcript has 3 exons. The record is from RefSeq and is a predicted model, not a curated record. Lineage: Eukaryota; Metazoa; Nemertea; Pilidiophora; Heteronemertea; Lineidae.
CGAGGGAAGCAAUGAUAGCUGGGACGGAAGGCAAAUUUAGGUCCUUUGUAUUUUGGCCAUUCCCCGGAUAGGUUGUAGGUAUCUGGUUCAUCUGAGAAUACGAAAUGAAGAUCGCAAUACUACUUCUCGUGGUUUUCCUUGCCUGCGCGGAGUGUGGCUUCAUUACCCCAAUGAUAACACGGAUAGCCAAUGGAGUCUGGAGCCUCAUGAAAAAGGACAUGGAAAAGCAGGCCGUCACUCUCAUCUAUGAAGGCGUCAUCAAAGAAGGCAUGAAGGAAGCCAUUGCAAAGGGCGUACCGGUUGUCAAGCAAAUUGGCACAGCGAUCGUCAUUGACAUCGAUAACAAACUCAAAAGUGGAGAACUUCAGCCAGAAAAUAUAUCGGACUAUCUGAGGAUGACCAUGAACAACUUUAACAGAAAAUAAAGCAUUGACCCCACGCCAUCUCCGUACAUGUAUACGUUUAACAAUGCAAAGAAUAUACUCGGCUUCUGAUGAGGUAGAAACGCUACCUGCGAUUUUGCUUGACUGGUUUACGAUCGUCUCGUAAGACUUCUUCCUCGCUUCUCUGCUUAAAUUUCAACAUUGGCUAUAAUGUUCUCAAUUUUGUCGCAGUGACAGUUUACAUUAAAGAAGAGAUUUCGUUGAA